Molecule: ribosomal RNA, 654 nt
Filed under: uncultured fungus
Lineage: Eukaryota; Fungi
Description: eukaryotic LSU rRNA
Rfam family: 5.8S ribosomal RNA (bases 268-421)
Source: RNAcentral
UUGGUCAUUUAGAGGAAGUAAAAGUCGUAACAAGGUUUCCGUAGGUGAACCUGCGGAAGGAUCAUUACUGAGUUAGGGUCUUCUAGGCCCGACCUCCAACCCUUUGCCUACCUUACCUCUUGUUGCUUCGGCUGGCCCGUCCCCCCUAGAAAUAGGGGUCGACCGCCGGAGGGUUUACACCCUCUGGCCCGCGCCCGCCGAUGGCCCUCAACCAAAACUCUUGUUCAAUCGUGAAUUGUCUGAGUACAAAAAACAAAAUAAACCAAAAACUUUCAACAACGGAUCUCUUGGUUCUGGCAUCGAUGAAGAACGCAGCGAAAUGCGAUAAGUAAUGCGAAUUGCAGAAUCCGUGAGUCAUCGAAUCUUUGAACGCACAUUGCGCCCCUUGGUUAUUCCGAAGGGCAUGCCUGUUCGAGCGUCAUUAUCACCCCUCAAGCCCCGGCUUGGUGUUGGACUUAGUUAUAGCUUUGCCUAUCAACUGGUCUCAAAGAUAGUGACGGCGCCCCAGAGGGAACCGGGUACGAGGAGCUUUUUGUUAAGCAUGUGCCUGGGACGACUCUGAUGGGCGACGGUCUUGUUAUACUUUUACCUAAGUGUUGACCUCGGAUCAGGUAGGAAUACCCGCUGAACUUAAGCAUAUCAAUAAGCGGAGGA